CAGAGGUGCCAAGCGUUAGGCGGAAUCACUGGGCUUAAAGCGCGCGUAGGCGGACGUUUAAGUGUCUUGUGAAAUCCCACGGCUCAACCGUGGAACUGCUGGGCAUACUGGACGUCUCGAGGCACUCAGGGGCGAGCGGAACAAGUGGUGGAGCGGUGAAAUGCGUAGAUAUCACUUGGAACGCCAAUGGUGAAGACAGCUCGCUGGGGGUGUCCUGACGCUGAGGCGCGAAAGCCAGGGGAGCGAACGGGAUUAGAUACCCCGGUAGUCCUGGCCCUAAACGAUGUCCCACUAGAUCAUGGCUCCUCUGACGGAGUCAUGGUCGGAGCAAAAGUGUUAAGUGGACCGCCUGGGAAGGUACGGUCGCAAGGCUA
Molecule: ribosomal RNA, 374 nt
Filed under: uncultured organism
Description: bacterial SSU rRNA
Rfam family: Bacterial small subunit ribosomal RNA
Source: RNAcentral